UUUAUUUCUUCUUUUGUUU
Molecule: small RNA, 19 nt
Filed under: Arabidopsis thaliana (thale cress)
Lineage: Eukaryota; Viridiplantae; Streptophyta; Magnoliopsida; Brassicales; Brassicaceae
Description: ATSL242040
Source: RNAcentral